RNAcentral lists this ribosomal RNA (598 nucleotides) under uncultured bacterium. RNAcentral describes it as "bacterial SSU rRNA". It matches the Rfam family "Bacterial small subunit ribosomal RNA", at positions 59 to 648 of the family's 1533-position model. The record is from RNAcentral.
AAGUCGAACGGUAACGCGGAGAGCUUGCUCUCUGGCGACGAGUGGCGGACGGGUGAGUAAUACUUAGGAAUCUGCCCAGUAGUGGGGGACAACAUUCGGAAACGGAUGCUAAUACCGCAUACGCACUACGGUGGAAAGUGGGGGACCUUCGGGCCUCACGCUAUUGGAUGAGCCUAAGUCGGAUUAGCUUGUUGGUGAGGUAAUAGCUCACCAAGGCGACGAUCCGUAGCUGGUCUGAGAGGACGAUCAGCCACACUGGGACUGAGACACGGCCCAGACUCCUACGGGAGGCAGCAGUGGGGAAUAUUGGACAAUGGGCGCAAGCCUGAUCCAGCAAUGCCGCGUGUGUGAAGAAGGCCUGCGGGUUGUAAAGCACUUUCAGUAGAGAAGAAAAGCCCAGGGUUAAUAACCCUGAGUCUUGACGUAACCUACAGAAGAAGCACCGGCUAACUCCGUGCCAGCAGCCGCGGUAAUACGGAGGGUGCGAGCGUUAAUCGGAAUUACUGGGCGUAAAGCGCGCGUAGGCGGUUUUGUCAGUCGGAUGUGAAAGCCCUGGGCUUAACCUGGGAAUUGCAUUCGAUACUGCAUAACUAGAGUA